This 103-nucleotide transfer RNA is filed under the name Candidatus Wukongarchaeota archaeon. RNAcentral's name for it is "tRNA-Phe". It matches the Rfam family "tRNA". Rfam says of the family: Transfer RNA (tRNA) molecules are approximately 80 nucleotides in length. Their secondary structure includes four short double-helical elements and three loops (D, anti-codon, and T loops). The record is from RNAcentral. Lineage: Archaea; Promethearchaeati; Candidatus Wukongarchaeota. RNAcentral also lists the same sequence under 1 other name.
GCCGAGGUAGCUUAGCCCGGGAGCAGUCCAAAACACUUCUACUCCUGACAGCGCUAGACUGAAGAUCUAGUUGUCGCUGGUUCAAAUCCGGCCCUCGGCGCCA